Molecule: ribosomal RNA, 465 nt
Filed under: uncultured bacterium
Lineage: Bacteria
Description: partial 16S ribosomal RNA
Rfam family: Bacterial small subunit ribosomal RNA
Source: RNAcentral
GAUGAAUGCUGGCGGCGUGCCUAACACAUGCAAGUCGAGCGGUAACAGGAGUAGUUUACUACUUGCUGACGAGCGGCGGACGGCUGAGUAACGCGUGGGAACAUACCCCAAAGUGAGGGAUAACCGCCCGAAGGGUGGCUAAUACCGCAUAUGAUCUUCGGAUUAAAGGAUUUAUACGCUUUGGGAACGGCCUGCGUACGAUUAGAUAGUUGGUGAGGUAAUGGCUCACCAAGUCGACGAUCGUUAGCUGGUCUGAGAGGAUGACCAGCCAGACUGGAACUGAGACACGGUCCAGACUCCUACGGGAGGCAGCAGUGAGGAAUCUUCCACAAUGGGCGCAAGCCUGAUCCAGCAAUGCCGCGUGCAGGAUGAAGGCCUUCGGGUUGUAAACUGCUUUUGUACGGAACGAAACGGUGAGCUCUAAUACAGUUUGCUAAUGACGGUACCGUAAGAAUAAGCACCGGC